AAAAGAUAAACGCAUGCACCGACGCACAGAAUUGACACACGUCCUCACUUCUCUGCAAACGCUCACGCUCCCACAGAGACACACGAAACUCGGGCUGCCUUGGCACGAGAGGCGCGUUGCUCGCGAAGCAAGCCGGCAACACGAAGGGAAAGGAGCAAGAAAGAAGACUAAACAUCCCUUUUCGUUUAACGAUCAGUGCUGCGUUUGCUCCCCCUUCUUUGGUACGUUUUUCUUUUUUGUUAUUUACGCCCGGCUAAGGCUUUCUCGAUCUUUCUUUGAGAACUUCCUUCUUUCUGUGUGUUUUCACCUUGAUAGGACGCGGUUUCUUUUUCCUCUUUACAUUCGUGUGCUUCUUUAUAUCGAUCAAUCUUCACCCCAUUGCCGUGCUGCACGGUUUUGCUACUAUUCACAAUGCAGGAUCAUAUGUUUGCGAAGUCCGGCAUCCCCGCGAACGGUGCGGGGCUCGGACAAAAUUACUACACGCGUGACCUCAUUACCGAAGUUCCGACGAUCAUUGAGAUUGUGCCGGUUUCUUCAGAGGCACUGGCCACGCAGCGCGGUCCGCCAAAAGGAAACUCAGACACGUUCAAGAUCUCCUUGGAUGACGUGGAGCCGACUGCUGGGUGGCUGAGCGAUCGCAACAACGCCUCGCUCGACAUUUGCUUCAUGCACAGCUUCGGCAAGUGCUACGGCAAAAUUCGCGAAAAAGACCCCCGAACUUGUCACCAGAUUCACGUGAAGCGUGAAGUGCUUGACAACCUGCGCAAGUAUUACACAAACCCGCAGCGCAAUUACUUCUGCCGCACCAUGAAAGCAAACGUGACUGAGAAGUUUGCGCAGGUACUGUCACUACUGGCGCGGCGACGAAUUGCCCUGCAAUACCUGGAGUUCCGCACGGAAGACAUUGAGGUGACUGCCGGUAGCACCGAGUACGAGGUACAGUACCGUCUCUGGCUCGUCAGCGACGUCGAGCCGCAGCGCAAGAGCAGGGCCAAAGCGGCGAAUAUUUUGACGGACAACUUCAUCUCCUCCUCCAACCUCUGCUGGGACUUCGCGCUUACCGGACGGUGCUGCAGGGGUGCCUCUUGCCCCGAUCUCCAUGGCCACGUGGCCAAGGCACUUACGAAGGACCGUUUCGUGAAGGCGGCGCUGGCCGAAAUGGGGAAGAAGGAUUCCUUGCUGCCGUCGACGGAGACUACGCAGCCAGGGAAGACACCGAGGGUGUGCCAGCCGUCAGCUAGUGCUCCCCAGCAGUUUCCGCUGCCACCACCUAUGCCACAGCAGUGUGCGCCUUUCAUCGUGUCUUCACCGAGGCCGCCCCCGUACUGCUUUUCGUCUCUUCCACCUGCAUCCGAGAUGUCCGCGUCGUCGCCGAAUCCGACCCUUGCCGCAUUCCCGCUCGACAUGUCGUCUCUGCAAGGAGCGCCGUGCUUCCUUGUGAAUGAAGGCAGCGACGCCGUCUUUCGUCUCAUCACGCACUCACAGUUUGCGUCAUUCGGCAACGAUGCCUCUUAGCGAGAGUGGAGCAGUGUCUUACGGGGCUAACACGAAAAAGAGGCCUGCAGCUGUGAGGUAUUACGCACGAGGCUGCACGAUUUUCUGCAGGACAGUGCCACCUCACCAUAGAUCACUGUGCCACGCACCUUCUCUUCCUUUUUCCUUGUUCUUCCUUUAUCCCUCCGGUCUUUACAAAUUUUUUGAUCUCGCUCUCCUGCUUUUCGUGUAUUGUUCUCUCACUUCACGUCUGUCGUUGUUCUCCCCCUUUUUGUACUGGGUUUCUUUCGCUCGUCAUCAUCAAGAGAGAAGUUUUUCCGUGUAUGUUUGCCAUUUUCGGUGCAUUAUUUUCUUUUUUCACCAGCGCUCUUUUUUUUUUAGCUCGCCAACAGUGCCCUAUGGAUAACUGAGACUAGCAGAUAAAAGGGGAAAAAGCAACAAUGACAGAGCAAGUGACCGCAGCUUCUUCCCCCCAUGGGAAGCGUGUCGCGCAUCUUCUAUUUCGCCACCUAUUGCUAUUUCUCUUUUUCACUGCUUCUUGCGCCUCCAUGUCUCUCAUCUCCCUCGUUCUCUCUCUGCGAGUCGGAGUUGAGCCUGUUGCUGACUCUUUCUUUGUGUGUGUGUGCGUGUGUGUCUGUGCUUUUUUUUCUCUAUGUUUUCACGAGACGAACGCGUUCUGCAGACAGGGAAAGUCCUACCACUUUGUGUUUUUCUAUACUGUGAUUGGGCUAUCACACAGCGUGCCAGCUUGCGUCUUGCAUGUGCAUCUCUCACGAUUAAGCACUGAUUCGCCCAUAAGUCGGCACCUCCGAAGAGGCUCGGCAGAAUACAAACAAACACAUCUUUUUUUUUCAACUCCCUUCUCUUAUCGUUGAUCUAACGCGUGGAAGAAAUAAUUGCUGAUGCGAUACCACCACGGUAUAUGAAAGAUGGUGAUCUCUGCACCCGUCUCUUCCGAGCAGUGUUCCCUGUUCGUAUUGCUUUCGCCUUUCAUGUUUAGCGGUUCAUCGCUUCGUCUUGUGCUUUUCUGAACUCUCUUCGGUUUGGUUUUUACUGUUUUCAGCUUCUUUGUUUUUCUUUUCGUCCUGCCUUUUUCGUUUUUUUUCCAGUUUUUUUUUUCUUUGUGAGUGGUAGCCUGUCUCGUGACAAAGGCGCGCAUCGAAAGAAGAAAACAACGCGAUCGCAAACCGUGCAACUUUAUCUUUUCUUUAGCGAUCUUGAUUUUUAUCUGAUUACGUUCAACCUUCUCUGUUCGUAGUUUUUCUCUGUAAAAGGAUACGCACUCACAAGCGCAGAGGGGGAUGCAGAUGUCUCUCUUGCCUUCUCUGUGCGCGCUAUCCAUCCUGUGCGUGUCUCUCUCCUUCUCACCGUUUCCGCGAAUGGUGUACGUCUUUGCCUUUGUUUCUUUUUUUUGUGUUUUUCCCGUUUUGCGUUGUCAAUUUUACUGCCUCCGCUCUCUUUUUUUCGUCGUCCUUCUCCCACUUCUCGCGUAUAUGCAUCUACAACAGAAGUGCCAUUUAUGGUGCGAUGAGUGAACAGACUGCCGGUGCGUUACAUGUGUGGCCCUAAGUGUGCGCGACAGGGAUGAUGUGCGACGUGCGUCGAACAGCCUACGGGACAAAGACUUGUUACCGAUGUAAGUUUCGUCACUGCUGGCCUUGGCCUCAAUUUCUUCUCUCUGUUUUCUCUUGGUUUACGGAUGUGAACUGGAAAGCUUUUGCACCUGUCGAUGGCGUUCAUUCAGUGGACGUGACCUGUGCUCUAGCGGCAUGCAUACUAUCAAAAUCGCCCACGGUCUCAUUUGCACAGGGAUGCACGACACAAAAACAAUCCUCUACAUUAGGCAAAUAAGUAGAUGAUGUGUGUGCUCCGCCGAUCCACACCUCACUGCGUCCCUGCAAGCCGUCCCCGGUGACAUGUGCUAUUAAGAGAAUUAACGAGAGAGAAAGGAGCAACUCUUUUUUUUCGUGAGCUUUCUUUUCCAGCUGGCGUGUGCCAGUAUUUUCUCUUUCAGCGUUCCCCACGGCUCUUUGGCUAACGAACACAUUUGCCUCCCUCUUUCCUCUUUUUUCCCUACUGUAUGCGUGCGUUUUUCCUUAUGGCUGUAUACGUUCACGUUGAUUUACAG
Molecule: unclassified non-coding RNA, 3622 nt
Filed under: Leishmania donovani
Lineage: Eukaryota; Euglenozoa; Kinetoplastea; Trypanosomatida; Trypanosomatidae
Description: gene:LdHU3.32.0050(CDS-product:hypothetical_prote in_conserved)
Source: RNAcentral